RNAcentral lists this ribosomal RNA (260 nucleotides) under uncultured Veillonella sp. Its description in RNAcentral is "partial 16S ribosomal RNA". It matches the Rfam family "Bacterial small subunit ribosomal RNA", at positions 112 to 354 of the family's 1533-position model. Lineage: Bacteria; Bacillati; Bacillota; Negativicutes; Veillonellales; Veillonellaceae. The record is from RNAcentral.
AACGCGUAAUCAACCUGCCCUUCAGAGGGGGAUAACAACGGGAAACCGUUGCUAAUACCGCGUACGAUUCAUAGACGGCAUCGUUUGUGAAUGAAAGGUGGCCUCUAUUUAUAAGCUAUCGCUGAAGGAGGGGAUUGCGUCUGAUUAGCUAGUUGGAGGGGUAACGGCCCACCAAGGCAAUGAUCAGUAGCCGGUCUGAGAGGAUGAACGGCCACAUUGGGACUGAGACACGGCCCAAACUCCUACGGGAGGCAGCAGGC